UACGUAGGGACCAAGCGUUGUCCGGAAUCAUUGGGCGUAAAGCGCGCGUAGGUGGCCAUUUAAGUCCGCUGUGAAAGUCAGAGGCUCAACCUUUGAAAGCCGGUGGAUACUGGAUGGCUAGAGUACGGAAGAGGCGAGUGGAAUUCCUGGUGUAGCGGUGAAAUGCGUAGAUAUCGGGAGGAAUACCUAUGGCGAAAGCAGGUUUCUGGGCCAUCACUGACGCUGAGCUGCGAAAGCUAGGGGAGCAAACAGG
RNAcentral lists this ribosomal RNA (253 nucleotides) under uncultured bacterium. RNAcentral describes it as "partial 16S ribosomal RNA". It matches the Rfam family "Bacterial small subunit ribosomal RNA", at positions 524 to 776 of the family's 1533-position model. The record is from RNAcentral.